CCUACGGGUGGCAGCAGUGAGGAAUAUUGGUCAAUGGGCGGGAGCCUGAACCAGCCAAGUCGCGUGAGGGAAGACGGUCCUAUGGAUUGUAAACCUCUUUAGGCGGGGAGCAAUGCCGGGCACGCGUGCCCGGAGGGAGAGUACCCGCAGAAUAAGCAUCGGCUAACUUCGUGCCAGCAGCCGCGGUAAUACGAAGGGGGCAAGCGUUGUUCGGAAUUACUGGGCGUAAAGGGAGUGUAGGCGGUUUAGUAAGAUAGUGGUGAAAUCCCAGAGCUUAACUUUGGAAUUGCCAUUAUAACUAUUAGACUAGAAUUACAGAGAGGAUAGUGGAAUACCCAGUGUAGAGGUGAAAUUCGUAGAUAUUGGGUAGAACACCAGUGGCGAAGGCGACUAUCUGGCUGUACAUUGACGCUGAGGCUCGAAAGCAUGGGGAUCAAACAGGAUUAGAUACCCCAGUAGUC
RNAcentral lists this ribosomal RNA (461 nucleotides) under uncultured bacterium. RNAcentral's name for it is "partial 16S ribosomal RNA". It matches the Rfam family "Bacterial small subunit ribosomal RNA", at positions 338 to 795 of the family's 1533-position model. The record is from RNAcentral.